Molecule: non-coding RNA, 23 nt
Filed under: Arabidopsis thaliana (thale cress)
Lineage: Eukaryota; Viridiplantae; Streptophyta; Magnoliopsida; Brassicales; Brassicaceae
Source: RNAcentral
GGAUACCUAUUCAGGUUCGGGUU